Molecule: ribosomal RNA, 253 nt
Filed under: uncultured bacterium
Lineage: Bacteria
Description: partial 16S ribosomal RNA
Rfam family: Bacterial small subunit ribosomal RNA
Source: RNAcentral
UACGAAGGGUCCAAGCGUUGUUCGGAAUCAUUGGGCGUAAAGCGCGCGCAGGCGGAUCAGUAAGUCAGGUGUGAAAUUUCGAGGCUCAACCUCGAGACUGCGCCUGAAACUACUAGUCUAGAAUGUCGGAGGGGGCAGGGGAAUUUCACGUGUAGGGGUAAAAUCCGUAGAGAUGUGAAGGAACACCGGAGGCGAAGGCGCCUGCCUGGACGACUAUUGACGCUGAGGCGCGAAAGCGUGGGGAGCAAACAGG